RNAcentral lists this ribosomal RNA (301 nucleotides) under uncultured bacterium. RNAcentral describes it as "partial 16S ribosomal RNA". It matches the Rfam family "Bacterial small subunit ribosomal RNA", at positions 509 to 807 of the family's 1533-position model. The record is from RNAcentral.
CAGUCGCCGCGGGAAUACGAAGGGUGCAAGCGUUACUCGGAAUUACUGGGCGUAAAGCGUGCGUAGGUGGUGGUUUAAGUCCGUUGUGAAAGCCCUGGGCUCAACCUGGGAAUUGCAGUGGAUACUGGGUCACUAGAGUGUGGUAGAGGAUAGUGGAAUUUCCGGUGUAGCAGUGAAAUGCGUAGAGAUCGGAAGGAACAUCUGCGGCGAAGGCGACUAUCUGGGCCAACACUGACACUGAGGCACGAAAGCGUGGGGAGCAAACAGGAUUAGAUACCCCUGUAGUCCCUGUCUCUUAUAC